Molecule: ribosomal RNA, 249 nt
Filed under: Cladophialophora chaetospira
Lineage: Eukaryota; Fungi; Ascomycota; Eurotiomycetes; Chaetothyriales; Herpotrichiellaceae
Description: partial large subunit ribosomal RNA
Rfam family: Eukaryotic large subunit ribosomal RNA
Source: RNAcentral
CGUGAAAUUGUUGAAAGGGAAGCGCUUGCAACCAGACUUGAGCGCGGCGGUUCCCCCGGUCUUUUGGCCGGGCUACUCCGUCGUGUCCAGGCCAACAUCGGUUCUGAGGGUCGGUCAAAGGCCUUGGGAAUGUAUCUACCUACGGGUAGACUUAUAGACCAGGGUGUCAUGCGGCCUCUCGGGACCGAGGAACGCGCUUCGGCUCGGAUGUUGGCGUAAUGGUUGUCAGCGACCCGUCUUGAAACACGG